CUUCCUUUUCUCUUCCUUUUUCCUUUCUUUUCUUUUCUUUUCUUUUUCUCUCCCUUUUUCAGUGGACACUAGCAGCCCCCUUCUCCUUCUCUUUUCCUUUUUCCUUUCUUUCCUCUCUCCUCUCCCUCUCACGCACAACCCAGCCCCUUCCCCCUCUUCCUUCUUCCUCUCUUCGUCUCUCUCUCACACUCACGCACACACAUGGACCUGAGAGAGAGAGUGUUGAGCCGAAAAUGGAGGGUGAGCACUGGAGAACACAAGGUUGAGAGGGAGAGCCCGAGAAUGAAAGAGAAGAAGAAGAAGAGAGAAUCCGGCCUGGGCUUUAAGAGAUGAUGUUCUUUUGGCUUCAGGUAUUCCGGUCGUAGUUGAUGGUAUUGUAGAAAUAUACUUGGAAUAUUAUGACUGAAGCUCGCUGCGACGGCUGUAAUUGUCAGACCAUGGGUUGUCCACUAUUUUAUGGGUUUGUUUAUGGCUCUUGACGCUUGUGUCACUUAAUCUUUGUUAAGUCAUUUCUAUGAUGUAUUUAUUAUGAGGAAAGACUUAAAUAGAUAGAUGUAAUAUGGCUCUUUGUUUAUGAUUAUUUAUAAUAGAGGUUUAUGUUA
Long non-coding RNA from Alnus glutinosa, 602 nucleotides. RefSeq lists it as uncharacterized. The record is from RefSeq and is a predicted model, not a curated record. Lineage: Eukaryota; Viridiplantae; Streptophyta; Magnoliopsida; Fagales; Betulaceae. The transcript is spliced from 2 exons.